Molecule: long non-coding RNA, 986 nt
Organism: Cryptotermes secundus
Lineage: Eukaryota; Metazoa; Arthropoda; Insecta; Blattodea; Kalotermitidae
Exons: 3
Source: RefSeq, a predicted model, not a curated record
CGGCUGUGGGGACCGCCCAGAGCUCUUCUGCAGGCCGACCAUUAUAUCCCCAUUAGUGCUCAGGUUACGCUUGUGGGAACAUGCUGCCUCCAUCUUCAGUCUUCAAAGAAUAUUUAAUCAGCAAGGAUAAGGCGACAGCUGUCACCGCUACACUUGUGCCGCGAGGGUGGCGUAGAUCUUGCCUGCCUUGCCCACUUAUUGACAAGACGAGAGAAGAAGCCGCUGGGCAUUCAACAUGAAGAUUGCUUACAUUGUGCUCAAAGGCUUUUGUGCUGUCGGUACCAAUUAUCCGUUACAAAGGGGACAGCUUCUGUGUUCCACAUGGAGGAUCUCCAUUGUUCACGAAGGUAAAUGUUGGCCAGCAUCUUGAGGAACAUUUGUCUCCAGCAAGGAACUAAACGGAGUUGUCAGUGUCAGAGUGAAUAAAAGUGUCAUAAAUAUUUUUAUCCGGAUUUAAAUAAGCUCUGGAUGUCAAGCGCUGGAAUCUUACUGUGAAGGCUCGGGUUCAGUUCUGGCUUAUUCCAUUUAGACUAAUUGUGAACGAAGUGGCACGGGAGAAAGUUUUCUCGGAGUUUUUUUCUUCUGGAUUUUUCUUGCAUACAUAAUUUCACCACUGGUCCAUAAUUAUGUAUCGCAGCGUCGUGAGAUCUGCUGGAGUCCUGCUUAAGCACCAUAUUGUCAUAUCCUGCUUCUUCACGUUCAGGGCUUCGAAUCUGAUCAGGAAACUGGGCAGUUAACAGUUCCGCUGACAUAUCAAAAACUGCUGUAAGGCAGGGCAAUACGAUAACCAGCAUCAGGACACAGAAGAGAUCAGAAAAAGUUGUUUAUAAUUAAAGCUACAUAUUUAAUAUUAUUAUUUAAUACUAAUAUUACAUUUAAUUAUCAUAAUAUUGCAAUUAUAAUUGUUUGGGAAAAUUACGUGAUGCGGAAAUUUAUAGCUUAUAGGUUUACUGUUCACCUAAUGGGGCACGCGAUAGCGUAGUUGG